UGCGUAGGCGGCGGGGAAAGUCAGAUGUGAAAUCCGGAGGCUCAACCUCCGAAUUGCAUCCGAUACUCCCUCGCUAGAGAUUUGUAGAGGAGCUUGGAAUUCUCGGUGUAGCAGUGAAAUGCGUAGAUAUCGAGAAGAACGCUCGCAGCAAAGGCGAAGCUCUGGGCAAAUUCUGACGCUGAUGCACGAAGGCGUAGGGGAGCAAACG
Molecule: ribosomal RNA, 208 nt
Filed under: uncultured bacterium
Lineage: Bacteria
Description: partial 16S ribosomal RNA
Rfam family: Bacterial small subunit ribosomal RNA
Source: RNAcentral